GUGCACGCUGGCGGUAGGCCUAACACAUGCAAGUCGAACGGCAGCACAGUAAGAGCUUGCUCUUACGGGUGGCGAGUGGCGGACGGGUGAGGAAUACAUCGGAAUCUACUUUUUCGUGGGGGAUAACGUAGGGAAACUUACGCUAAUACCGCAUACGACCUACGGGUGAAAGCAGGGGAUCUUCGGACCUUGCGCGAUUGAAUGAGCCGAUGUCGGAUUAGCUAGUUGGCGGGGUAAGGGCCCACCAAGGCGACGAUCCGUAGCUGGUCUGAGAGGAUGAUCAGCCACACUGGAACUGAGACACGGUCCAGACUCCUACGGGAGGCAGCAGUGGGGAAUAUUGGACAAUGGGCGCAAGCCUGAUCCAGCCAUACCGCGUGGGUGAAGAAGGCCUUCGGGUUGUAAAGCCCUUUUGUUGGGAAAGAAAAGCAGCAGGUUAAUACCCCGCUGUUCUGACGGUACCCAAAGAAUAAGCACCGGCUAACUUCGUG
Molecule: ribosomal RNA, 491 nt
Filed under: uncultured bacterium
Lineage: Bacteria
Description: partial 16S ribosomal RNA
Rfam family: Bacterial small subunit ribosomal RNA
Source: RNAcentral